CGCGAUGUUAACCCUUUGAACCUGAGGAAUCAAAACAGAACUAAAUAUUCCACGACGAUUCCCGUAGACGAACCGCUACUUUCUCACAGGACAGUGUCGAAGCUGCGGAUUCUUCAUUCAGUCUGCGGACUCCGAAUGAAAUGCAGUGCGCGUGCUCUGCCACUAGCGAGCACCCGACAACCUCACGAGGAAUAUCACAGCCUACUGGUUUGCUUUAUAAAGUGGGAUUCUCCCGAUUCCUUCCUCCCAUCCCAUUGGGAUAGUCACUUCAACAAAGAAGUGUUCAAGUGCUCUACUGGAAAGAGUUCUGGUGACUGUGGAGGCCAUUUGAGCACAGUGAACUCAUUGUCAUGUGAAACCAGAUUGGAGUUUUGUGACAUGAUGCACUGUCCUACUGGAAGGAGCCAUCAGAAGAUGGGUACACUGUGGUCAUAAAGGAAUGAAUAUGGUCGGGAACUAUACUCAGGUGACAGGAGUAGCACCAGUUGUGGUCUUCUGCUGCUGUAGCCCAUCUGCUUCAAAGCUGGACAUGUUGUGUGUUCAGAGAUGCUCUUCUGUAUACCUUGGUGGUAAUUUGAGUUGCCGG
This is a long non-coding RNA of Astatotilapia calliptera (eastern happy), 586 nucleotides long. The record is from Ensembl. NCBI's taxonomy places the organism in Eukaryota, Metazoa, Chordata, Actinopteri, Cichliformes, Cichlidae.